This 271-nucleotide long non-coding RNA is filed under the name Elaeis guineensis (African oil palm). RNAcentral's name for it is "long non-coding RNA (EGUI_LNC064585)". The record is from RNAcentral. Lineage: Eukaryota; Viridiplantae; Streptophyta; Magnoliopsida; Arecales; Arecaceae.
UUGCCUAUAUAUCUUAAAAUCUUGAUCUUAAUAAAUAACAACAAUGGAUGGAAAUAAAUGAAAUAUAAAAGAGAAACAGAAAAAGGAGCAAAGAGAAGUAACCUAUGACUAAAUGGAAGAUGAAACACCACAGAAGAAAAUGACAGAUCGAACUAGAGUGAUGGUGCGAAGUGCAAUAGUGCGAAUUGCAAAGAGCAUCGAUGAGAGUAACAGAAAGAAGAAAAGGGAAGGAUUAAGUACCGAAGAUGGGUUGAGAGGGAGAGGUUGAGAG